This 465-nucleotide ribosomal RNA is filed under the name uncultured bacterium. RNAcentral's name for it is "partial 16S ribosomal RNA". It matches the Rfam family "Bacterial small subunit ribosomal RNA", at positions 28 to 507 of the family's 1533-position model. The record is from RNAcentral.
GACGAACGCUGGCGGCGUGCUUAACACAUGCAAGUCGAACGGAAAGGCCCUGCUUGCAGGGUACUCGCGUGGCGAACGGGUGAGUAACACGCGGGUGAACUGCCCUGCACUUCGGGAGAAGCCUGGGAGACUGGGUGUAAUACCGGAUAGGAGACCUUUUUAGGCUGAUGGUUGGAUAGUUUUUUCGGUGUGGGGUGAGCUCGCUGGCUAUCUGCUUGCUGGUGGGGGUAUGGGCUACCAAGGCGGCGGUGGGUUGCCCGCCUGCGGGGGUGGACGGCCACCUUUGGGCCUAGGUUAGGCCCCAGCUCCGACGGGGGGGCACAGGGGGGAAUAAUGCCCAAUGGGCGCGAGGCUGAUGCCGCGACCCCGCGUGGCGGAUGACGGGCUUAGGGUUGGAAACCCCUUUUGCUAGGGACGAAGCUUUUUGUGACGGUACCUAGUUAAGAAGCACCGGCUAACUACGUG